Molecule: small RNA, 125 nt
Filed under: Marmota monax (woodchuck)
Lineage: Eukaryota; Metazoa; Chordata; Mammalia; Rodentia; Sciuridae
Source: RNAcentral
GCUGGGUAUGGUGGCCCAUGCCUAUAACCCCAGCAGCUUGGGAGGCUGAGACAGGAGGAUCACGAGUUCAGAGUCAGCCUCAGCAACAGUGAGGGGCUAAGCAACUCAGUGAGACCCUGACUCUA